UUGCAGCCAUAUCAGGUUGAAACACCGGUUCUCGUACGAUCACUGAAGUUAAGCAACGUUGAGCGAGGUCUUUAUCUAGAUGGGUGGCUGCUUGGGUGUACCUGGUGCUGUAAG
Molecule: non-coding RNA, 114 nt
Organism: Acanthosepion pharaonis
Lineage: Eukaryota; Metazoa; Mollusca; Cephalopoda; Sepiida; Sepiidae
Source: the annotation of a GenBank genome assembly